GUGGGGAAUAUUGGACAAUGGGCGAAAGCCUGAUCCAGCCAUGCCGCGUGUGUGAAGAAGGUCUUCGGAUUGUAAAGCACUUUAAGUUGGGAGGAAGGGCAGUAAGUUAAUACCUUGCUGUUUUGACGUUACCGACAGAAUAAGCACCGGCUAACUUCGUGCCAGCAGCCGCGGUAAUACGAAUGGUGCAAGCGUUAAUCGGAAUUACUGGGCGUAAAGCGCGCGUAGGUGGUUUUGUAAGUUGGAGGUGAAAUCCCCGGGCUCAACCUGGGAACUGCCUCCAAAACUGCAUGACUAGAGUACGGUAGAGGGUAGUGGAAUUUCCUGUGUAGCGGUGAAAUGCGUAGAUAUAGGAAGGAACACCAGUGGCGAAGGCGACUACCUGGACUGAUACUGACACUGAGGUGCGAAAGCGUGGGGAGCAAACAGGAUUAGAUACCCUAGUAGUCC
This 450-nucleotide ribosomal RNA is filed under the name uncultured bacterium. Its description in RNAcentral is "partial 16S ribosomal RNA". It matches the Rfam family "Bacterial small subunit ribosomal RNA", at positions 354 to 796 of the family's 1533-position model. The record is from RNAcentral.